Long non-coding RNA from Coturnix japonica (Japanese quail), 6707 nucleotides. RefSeq lists it as uncharacterized. Lineage: Eukaryota; Metazoa; Chordata; Aves; Galliformes; Phasianidae. The record is from RefSeq and is a predicted model, not a curated record.
AUGUACCUCAAAUUGUGCUACUCAAACAUUGUAUUUGAUUUCCAAAGCCCCCUGGGCAUCCCCUAAUGUCUCCCUUCAUCCUGGGUAUGAAGCAUUUAUUGAACAGUCUGCUUUGACUGGGGCUAUCUUUCCAAAAGCACCCUCACAUUGUAAAUGUGGGACCAGCUUUCCUCCUCCUCCUUCUCCUCAGACAGCAACUUGUUCCUCUGCAGAGCACCGUGUGCCACGUCCCUGGGUUCAGUGAUGAUAUGUUACCUCACGGGCUCCUGCUCCCACACUGGCUGCUCUGUUGAGGGCUACGCUCCUGUGCCACUCAUGUAAAAAGGGGGAGGAUGUCUACAGAGCACACAUUAAUAUGCGGCACAUAACCACGUCUCUGAAUGCCAGCCUUCCAUUCUUCAUUAAACAAAAUGGCUGGAUUGCAGGGAUUGUUUUCCUCUCUACACACGCGCGCGCGCACACACACACUAGGCAUGCAGGCACGGACCCACACACCCCCACAUGCACUCAGCUUUCUCCCUGGCUCUCCCUCACACGCACAAACACGCUUUUCCUCAUGCACAUGAGCACACGCGCAUGCACACACGCGACCUUCCUGGCUGUCAUAGCACAUCGCUAUCGGUGGUGUGAGUUACGUGCGAAAAGUUGUCUGCGGCACGCGUGACAUACAAGGAGAUUCCUGCCGACGUCAGGCCCUUUUUUGCCAUGCAGCAACAAGUGGCAGAAUCAAUGGUGUACAGUUAUUCAGCAGUGUAAUUCAUUUCACUGGCUUUGGCUUCUAGCCAGAUCCGCCAUCUGUCUCUUGCUCUCCCUCUCUCUCUCUCGCCUGAAUUUGUCCUACAUUUCGUAAUGUUACGUGCUUGCCAUCCUUAUUCUAUGUCAGAGUUGCAGCACUAGUCUCACCCCUGUUCCGACGUGGAGUUCUUCGAGUUCGGUGGCACUUUGGAUAUUCCACUUCAGUGCCACGGCAAGAAAAGGAGUAUCUUCGUUUGCUUUAUUGGAUGCCGGCGCUGAACGCCACUGCACAGCUUCGUGGAAUGCCUGCUGUUGGAUGUUUGCAGAUCUCUGCCACCAAGCAACCUCCUGCAUUGGAAAUCGGGUGACUACUCCAGGAUCUUAUGCGUGCUUGCUGUUUGAAGCUGCAGAAAAGUGAAUAAUCAAUUAAGUAUUGAUUUCUUGUAAGAUUUGGUAAAUUUCAAAGGGAAGACAAAGAGGAUGGCUUAAGGAAAGCACUGCAGGGACUUGGCGUAAAUUAGACAACUAACAGCAGUGCAGAAUAAAAUAACACCUCAACUGAAUAUUUCCUUGGAAGAAUUAGCACCAGCUAUUGGAAGACGAUGGUGGAUUUAAUCAAGACGGCAGGCAUGCUUGAGUUUUAACCGUGAACCUGAAAGAGGGGCUAAUUAUAACCACCUUUUUAUAUGGAGCUAAUUUGACUGAAUGGAUGCAAAUGUGCUUUAUUUAUGGAUGAAGAAGCAAGCCUUACAGCAUUGACUUUGGGAUCAUCGCAUAUGCUAAGCUUUACAGCUUGCCUAAAAGUCAAGCCUACAGUACAUUUUUAUUUACCGAGAAGGUAUUUAUAUGUAAGCAUAAGCUUGCCGUACAAAAGAUUCAUCAGAACAAUGUACUAUGACAUUGAGGAUCUAAUUUUAAUUUUGCAGCUUUUCAUGUUUUCUUUAAUUUGAUGCUUUUCAACCCUUGCUUGUGCUGGGCUAUAAAUGGGACAAUAAAUGUAUGCUUUAAACUAUUGUGAUUUUGAUUGUGUAGUUUAUUAAUCGUACUGUAGUUUUCUUAACGUGUUUCUGAAUUAUUCAGCAGUAACUUAUAAUGAAAGAAGCAGCACUGGUGGGGUGGUUUUGAAUUCAUUUAUAAUCUUCUUACAGAUCUAAAUGUACAGGUUCUACCAGCCAAUGAGCUCUAUAAUUACGAAAGAAUGUUGAAAUUUUCAGAUAAAUGGGGCACUGACUUUACAAUAGGCACAAUAUUGUAUAAUCAGUAAAAGGAGGAUUGUUGUGUUUUGACUCUGUGGAGACUGUUCUUGGUUAGUUAACUCCUUCUCUGCUGAUAAUGGUAAGCAAAUGUACCUUAAACAAGAAAAUGGGAGAAGAAUGUACUGUAUUAGCUUGAUGUUUUGUUAGUCUGAGACCUUAGUAUAUUUUUUUUCUAUUUAUUUCUAUUUCUGUUACUUUUCCCUAUUUGCUUUUCUGCUUUUUGUCGCUUUUUUUCUCUCCUGUCUUGAAAUCUACAUUCCCUGAGCAACCACAGGAACCAAGUUACAUUAAGCUUCAACACAAAGACGAUGUAAGAAUAAUGAAUCCUCAUUUGCAUCGACAUUUGUAUUCAGAUUUGCCAGGCUAUAAACUUGGCAGAUCAAGCGGAAUAUUAAGUAGAGGCUUCCAUGGUAAAUUGUGACUCUUGCAAUUGCCGAGUUGUUUUUUCCUAUUUAUGUCAUUGUGUCUGUGUGCAUGUGUGUGUGUAUGUGCGUGUGUGUGUAUUUGUAUGUACAUGUGUAUAUAUGUGCAUGUAUGUGCAUAUCUGUAGUGGCAGGUAUGCUCUCAUGACUACAUGAUUUCUGAGAAGCAUGUUGGACCUCUUUCUCUUACAGUAUAUGAUGUUGGUCUGAAGCAAAAUGAAGCAGGGAUUUACCAGCAGUAAGCAUGUUAGCGGAAGAUAUAUUGUGAUAUAUAAAUAAAGUAUGAACUCCUGUGUCUAGAGACCAUGUGAAAGAUUCCUUAAAUAAAUAGAUAAAUACUAUUGUUUGAGGAAACAGAUCAUCAGCAUCAGCUGGAGGUUCGAUUUCACUGAAUCAGAAGAACACUAGAAUCCAAAGAACAACCUCUGAAAUAGCACUAAGCAUUCCUACUGCCUACAUUUAUGUGCAAUUAUAUUUGUGAUGAUAAUUAUGUAUGAAUAUAUGUUUCAUUUAGAAACUUUGGGCCUUGUGUGCCUGCUGUCAGGUGCUCUUUGGUUUGGUUGUAUUGCCUUCCGAUUUGGAGUAGUGUGUAUGAAAGCAGAGCUGGCUCUUCUCUCCCAGGGUUGGACAUUGAACCUUUUCCUUCACUUAAGUUUACUGAAUAAGAGGUGAAGUUAGUUCUAUAUUUCCCUAAAAAUUCUGCCCUUCUCUCUUGCAUAAUUCUUUUUCAUAAAGAGUAAUUGAAAAAGUGGAAGAUUGACCUUAACAUUCCCCCUUUUAACACUGUGUGAUUGAAAUUAAUUUAUGCUUGACUGUGGGGCACUUCCUCUUAUCAAUAACAGGAAUUAUUUCGGAAGCAAAAUUAAUGCUCUUAGCCAAUGGGUGCAAAAAACGUCCCAUUAACUUUAAAGUAGUUAUCUUAGGACUGCAACCAAAGGUCUUUGGAAAGAAUAUGACAUUGAACUGGGAGAUGCAGAAAACAAUCAACUAUGCAGGAAGGCAAGUAUGCCUUCUUUUUGUACAUAGCUUGUCUCUAUCACAUACAGACCCAUUUAUCAGAUAGAAUAGCAGAAUGCCGGUAAAGUCCAUAGAAUGAAUGAGUUUUUAUAACUGCUUAUAACUGACAUCUGUGUUAGAAAGCUACUACAGUAGAGAAAAAUCCUAUGGUGUUUUUUUUGUGUUUUGUUGUUGUUAUUGUUGUUUGGUUUGGUUUGUUUGUUUGUUUUUAAUAGUCCCUAAAUAAUCUUAAUUAAUAGACUUAAUCUGUGUCAGGUCUGUAGAUGACACUUUCUAUGGUGGAACAGUAACCCAUGUAAGGGCAAAUGCACCCCUGCUUCAUUAUUUAUUCGCUAUGAUUCGGAAGUUUUGAAACUUGAUUUUUUACUCUAAGGGAAAACAUGGAAUAUAAUGUCUCCUUCCUUUGAAAGAGUGUUCUGGACUACAUAUAAAAAAUGGUGCUUAAAGUAGAAAGGAAAGGUAGAAUUUAUGUAUUUACAAGCUCAUCUGCCUCAUGCAUAACAACUUGAUGAAUUAAUAUCAACAUUCAUUGCUUUGGUUUGUACUUGUGUCUACCAUUAACUGGUUUUGGAAAUUUACUCCAAGAAAGAUAACCAAAGUGGGUUUGGUUUAUUUUGAGAAGGAAGUAACAAAAUAAUAUCUCAUCAACCUUCUAAAAAGAAAAUACAGUGGAAAAGAAGGCUUGGAAUUUAACUUACAAAGCCACAGAAAAUAGCAGAUUAAAAACCUGUAAUGUUUUUUGCUGGACAUACAUUUACAACAGCUAUUUAGCAAAGAGCAAAAAAUUUUCAAAAAAUCUUUCAAAAAAUAAUUCCUGUUGUUAUUUUCCUAUAUCCUCUAUAUCAAAUUCCCAACUGUUUUCUGCCUAUGGCCACACUGAGACUAUGGCUAUUACAGAGAAUGAAGAGAUUAAUUUAAAAAUAUUUAAGCUCUAAAUACAUUAAUCAUAUUCACAAACAAAAAUUCCUGGGGGGGAAAAAAAAAAAAAAAAAAAGCAGAGAUAGAAAGCUACUGUUACAUGGGAGCGACUCCAGCCUGUACUGUGGCCUACUGUUCUUACUAUUGUUGAAUAAAAUACUGUAGUGCUACUCAUAAUGAAAGUUUUCUCUGCUAUCAUUGAACAGGAUACAGCACAUUCAACUUUAGCAUAGUAUAAAACUGUUUCAUAAUCAGUGAUCUCAAAGCCUGUUACAGCAUUUUAGUCUCAUUCACUGUUACUAAAAAAUUCAAAUUUAAAUUUAAAAAUGGAGCAGAAUUCAGUCUGUAUUGGAAAACUGAGACUUGCUGACAUCUUUAAUGAAAGAUAUCAUUUUCUGACCAAAAGAUUAUUUUGUGUAAGCUACUGUUAUGGUGAGUAUUACCCAAGGAUUGUGUUACAUAUUGGAACCUUGGUUGUCUCUCUGUCACUGGCAUAGUCUUCAAAUUGAAUUGCAGGCAUGUAUUGUAUUAAGUAGUUUUUCUUCUGUUUUCUGUUUUUCUCAUUACAAUGUGCACAUAGUGACAGUUAGAACUUAGACAGUUUAACUGUUUAUGUUAGACAGACAGUAAGCUAUUUCUCCUUCAUGUUAUUAUUUCCUAGACAUAAAGGUAAUGGAAGUGAUUUUUAAAACAAACAAAUGGACAAAUAGGUAAACCAGGAAGAGGCAACAGAUUUAUUCUGGGAAAGUGGCCUUUCCACUGACUUUUUAUAAAUAAUAGGUUUUAAAUAUCUUCUUCACAAAGUGAAACCUGUUUUUCUCCUGCUCUGUGGUUAGUUUUGUGGUCUGUCUUUUGAGACUCCAUUGGUAAUCUCAGAUUGUGCAUGCUGCGGUUCUCUUCAACUAAUUGACAAGAUUUUCUAGUUUUGCUAAAGACUUUGCUGGGAGGAUGUAGCCCACUGUAAUGUGCUUUUACUCUACUUUGGCCAACCAUCUUUUCUUCAGCAAAAUAAAUAUGUUUUCAAUAUAAAAAACUGUAACAUGGUGAAGCUUUUAAUUUAAUUGCUAGGAGUGAGUUAGAAGGUUGUUACUGCACUAUUUUCAGGUUAAAACAGUCCUUUGGUUUCUAAAGCCAAAAUUAUAAUGACUCUGAAUAUUGUUCGUUAAUGAAUAAACUGGAUAUGCACAAAAUUCCCUCAGAUCUACAAUAUCUUUCUAUGAUUUGCUACUUAUUUUAUCUUGUAUCAAUUUACACUGUAAACCUGUAAUUUUUGUUUGUAUAACAUCCAGUGUAAUAAGAUCCAAUUCUGAUCAGUAUCUUAUCCUAAAUAAUAAUAGAAAUGUACUGUUGUAGACAAUAGGCAAGUUUUCCAAAGAGGUUGUUUAUUUGCAUAAUCAAUGGCAUCUCAUUUAAGUGAUUACUGCUUUUGAUAAAGUUAUGAGGUCAUUAAUUGUGCUUUUACUUUCAUUGGGAAUUUUGCUUAAUGAGAACAGAUUUUGGUGAAAGGUCAGCUCUCUGAAAAUCAUGACAACUUAUUUUCAUUAUCAUCAUGGUGAGUCAGAGAGCAACACAUAAGCCUCUUGACUGCAUCAAACUUGGCCAUCUCUCUGGCUGAAAUCACCACUUGCAUAACAAAACUCAACAACUGAGCUCAGUGAAAGACUGAAGAAAGGAGAAUUUAACUUCUGAAUUUUAGCUUACUACAGUACAGAAAUGAGAGGUGGUGGGAAAUUUUCUGUGAAAUGGAGAAGGAAUAACUGGAUGCUGAUAAAAUGUGCAAAGAGAUGGGAAACUGAACAAUAUUUUUACUUUUAACCUGAUGUCUAUAGUUGAAAGAAAAAACAAGAAGCAGAACAGAAAUGCCAGUCACUUCAACUUGCAAUGUGUAACUACCAGUUUUGACUGGAUCCAUAAUAUACACUGGGACCUGCAAUGAAUCAUGCCACACAGAAGUGGUCAUAGGCUGCAGAAGAUAAAUCUAAUGACAUGUCAGCUAUUACUAAUUUAGGGCUGCUUGUUUCUGGUCUUUGUAAUGUAAGUUGGAGUUUUUCUGUGGACUACUUUGGGAGCCAUAUUUGAUCUUACACAGAAAACAUAAAAGUUGCUUGUGCUACACAAUGCCAUAGUCUUAAACACUGACAAGGAGGUUGCAUUUUAAACUUCUGAAACAUUCUGAGACAUAUUUAUGGUAUCAUUUUCAAUUUAAAGUUUGCUCAUCCUACUCUAAGUAGUUUCCCAUUAAUAGUAAACUUUGUAAUUUACCCCAUACAUUAGAGAAGUACUUGAUUUUUCCUUUCAGUAAAUUAAAGGUUUUGCAAUAAAUAUUCUCUAUACAAAAAAUAAAGUGAUCUCAAAAACA